GAAGGAACCAGCGUUACCAUGCGUACGGGAGAGUCUUGGGGUGGUGGUGCCGGCCCAGGACGCAGGACUCUAAUGGCGUCGUGGGUGAGAGCUAUGAGGAGGGCACUCCGCCUGCAGCCUAGAAACAUGCCCCUCUGACCCACCUCCAUUUCUAGAAAACAUGCCCCUCUGACCCACCUCCAUUUCCAGAAACAUGCCCCUCUGACCCAUCUCCAUUUCCAGAAACAUGCCCCUCUGACCCACCUCCAUUUCCAGAAACAUGCCCCUCUGACCCACCUCCAUUUCUAGAAACAUGUCCCUCUGACCCACACCUCCAUUUCUAGAAACAUGCCCCUCUGACCCACCUCCAUUUCUAGAAACAUGCCCCUCUGACCCACCUCCAUUUCUAGAAACAUGCCCCUCUGACCCACACCUCCAUUUCUAGAAACAUGUCCCUCUGACCCACCUCCAUUUCUAGAAACAUGUCCCUCUGACCCCACCUCCAUUUCUAGAAACAUGUCCCUCUGACCCCACCUCCAUUUCUAGAAACAUGUCCCUCUGACCCACACCUCCAUUUCUAGAAACAUGUCCCUCUGACCCCACAUCCAUUUCUAGAAACAUGUCCCUCUGACCCCACACAUCCAUUUCUAGAAACAUGCCCCUCUGACCCACCUCCAUUUCUAGAAACAUGCCCCUCUGACCCACCUCCAUUUCUAGAAACAUGCCCCUCUGACCCACCUCCAUAUCUAGAAACAUGCCCCUCUGACCCACACCUCCAUUUCUAGAAACAUGUCCCUCUGACCCACCUCCAUUUCUAGAAACAUGUCCCUCUGACCCACACCUCCAUUUCUAGAAACAUGCCCCUCUGACCCACACCUCCAUUUCUAGAAACAUGUCCCUCUGACCCCAUCUCCAUUUCUAGAAACAUGCCCCUCUGACCUCACCUCCAUUUCUAGAAACAUGCCCCUCUGACCCACACCUCCAUUUCUAGAAACAUGCCCCUCUGACCCCACCUCCAUUUCUAGAAACAUGUCCCUCUGACCCACACCUCCAUAUCUAGAAACAUGCCCCUCUGACCCCACCUCCAUUUCUAGAAACAUGCCCCUCUGACCCACAUCCAUUUCUAGAAACAUGCCCCUCUGACCCACCUCCAUUUCUAGAAACAUGUCCCUCUGACCCCACACAUCCAUUUCUAGAAACAUGCCCCUCUGACCCACCUCCAUUUCUAGAAACAUGCCCCUCUGACCCCUCCUCC
RNAcentral lists this long non-coding RNA (1234 nucleotides) under Pan troglodytes (chimpanzee). RNAcentral describes it as "long non-coding RNA NONPTRT009043". The record is from RNAcentral. Lineage: Eukaryota; Metazoa; Chordata; Mammalia; Primates; Hominidae.